AGCAGCCGCGGUAAUCCCAGCUCCAAUAGCGUAUAUUAAAGUUGUUGCAGUUAAAAAGCUCGUAGUUGAAUUUCGGGGUUAGUAGGUUGGUCAUGCCUCUGGUAUGUACUGGUCUCACUGAUUCCUCCUUCCUUAUGAACCGUAAUGCCAUUAAUUUGGUGUUGCGGGGAAUUUGGACUGUUACUUUGAAAAAAUUAGAGUGUUUAAAGCAAGCUAACGCUUGAAUACAUUAGCAUGGAAUAAUGAAAUAGGACGUUCGAUCUUAUUUUGUUGGUUUCUAGGAUUGACGUAAUGAUUAAUAGGGAUAGUUGGGGGCAUUAGUAUUCAAUUGUCAGAGGUGAAAUUCUUGGAUUUAUUGAAGACUAACUACUGCGAAAGCAUUUGCCAAGGAUGUUUUCAUUAAUCAAGAACGAAAGUUAGGGGAUCGAAGACGAUCAGAUACCGUCGUAGUCUUAACCAUAAACUAUGCCGACUAGGGAUCGGAUGAUGUUAAUUUUUUAAUGACUCAUUCGGCGCCUUACG
RNAcentral lists this ribosomal RNA (522 nucleotides) under uncultured Glomeraceae. RNAcentral's name for it is "SSU rRNA". It matches the Rfam family "Eukaryotic small subunit ribosomal RNA", at positions 569 to 1092 of the family's 1831-position model. Lineage: Eukaryota; Fungi; Glomeromycota; Glomeromycetes; Glomerales; Glomeraceae. The record is from RNAcentral.